Molecule: transfer RNA, 74 nt
Filed under: Cohnella pontilimi
Lineage: Bacteria; Bacillati; Bacillota; Bacilli; Caryophanales; Paenibacillaceae
Description: Cohnella sp. CAU 1483 tRNA-Trp
Rfam family: tRNA
About the family: Transfer RNA (tRNA) molecules are approximately 80 nucleotides in length.
Source: RNAcentral
AGGGGCAUAGUUUAAUGGUAGAACAGCAGUCUCCAAAACUGUUGGUGUGGGUUCAACUCCUGCUGCCCCUGCCA